GUGAGCUGUGAACAUCCGGGUUUGCUUGCUGCUGGCAUUCGACCAGCGUCUCAGCAACAACACUGCCUCCCAGCUUUGCAAGGUAAUUACUUUCCCAAUUACUGUACACCAAAAUGGACUAACUGUCGUGGUCAACAAAUCUGCCUCCUAACUUUCAAGGUAAUCACUUUCCCAAUUACAAUAUACAAACUGUUAUGGAACUUUACUUAACAAAGCCUUAAGACCGGGUAGUGACACUAUCAAUAUGUCUAUUUAAAGAAAAGAGAUUUUUUUUUUUUUUUUUGUUCUUGUAGUCAUCUUGUCUAUCAAUGUAUCAGAGGGUUAAAAUAACAAAUUGCUUGAAAUGCCAAUAAUUAAUAUUCUGUUUUUAUGCUGACAUUCUACCAGAUGCCGAGAAAAAAUAAAAGAUCCCAGGCACAAAAGAAGCGCCUGAAACCACUUGACUUGGUCGAUCCUGUUGUCCCAAUGCUCACUGGCCACAACCAAGAUGAGGCAGUCAGUCGUUUUCCAUCUGACCAGACGGCACCAGCCAGGUUAUCUUUGGAAACACAGGAUAGACCCACCUCCUUAUGUUCCCCAGGUCCCAAGCAGACAGCACCAGCCAGCUUGUCCUUGGAAACGCAGAAUAGACCAACCUCCUUAUGUCCUCCAGGCAGCAAGAUUUCAGACACUCGUCCACCAGCAAAACGAGUCUGGGCAACCGAUGAUUUCCACACGGCAUCAAAUUCUCCACCUAAAAAGCCUUUCCACAACACAAAUGAACAACUACUGACAGAGGAGCUACAGAGUAACGCAGUUCAGCACUUCUGGUGUGUCAGUGCAACUCAUUGUCAAAGUGAUGAAAGGUACACAGAAUUCUCUCGAAAUCAUCAGUGCACAUGUAAUGCCCUCACAUUCCUGGCCUACCUUAAUGAGGAACACCAGUUCAACACAGCCCGACUUGAUAAGGUGCUUGAACAGGGAGAUGCACUCUACUGUUGGAUUAAAACAAAUCUUCAGCAGGAGAGGCGUUAUACACAAGAUCAUCUGACCAUGGAGGACCUGCCCAAAGAAGUUCAUGCUGACAUAAAUGUCUACAGUGUGAAAAUGGAC
This is a long non-coding RNA of Oreochromis aureus, 1092 nucleotides long. NCBI's taxonomy places the organism in Eukaryota, Metazoa, Chordata, Actinopteri, Cichliformes, Cichlidae. The record is from Ensembl.